This 1432-nucleotide ribosomal RNA is filed under the name uncultured organism. RNAcentral's name for it is "16S ribosomal RNA". It matches the Rfam family "Bacterial small subunit ribosomal RNA". The record is from RNAcentral.
AACACAUGCAAGUCGAGGGGCAGCAUGGUCUUAGCUUGCUAAGGCCGAUGGCGACCGGCGCACGGGUGAGUAACACGUAUCCAACCUGCCGUCUACUCUUGGACAGCCUUCUGAAAGGAAGAUUAAUACAAGAUGGCAUCAUGAGUCCGCAUGUUCACAUGAUUAAAGGUAUUCCGGUAGACGAUGGGGAUGCGUUCCAUUAGAUAGUAGGCGGGGUAACGGCCCACCUAGUCUUCGAUGGAUAGGGGUUCUGAGAGGAAGGUCCCCCACAUUGGAACUGAGACACGGUCCAAACUCCUACGGGAGGCAGCAGUGAGGAAUAUUGGUCAAUGGGCGAGAGCCUGAACCAGCCAAGUAGCGUGAAGGAUGACUGCCCUAUGGGUUGUAAACUUCUUUUAUAAAGGAAUAAAGUCGGGUAUGCAUACCCGUUUGCAUGUACUUUAUGAAUAAGGAUCGGCUAACUCCGUGCCAGCAGCCGCGGUAAUACGGAGGAUCCGAGCGUUAUCCGGAUUUAUUGGGUUUAAAGGGAGCGUAGAUGGAUGUUUAAGUCAGUUGUGAAAGUUUGCGGCUCAACCGUAAAAUUGCAGUUGAUACUGGAUAUCUUGAGUGCAGUUGAGGCAGGCGGAAUUCGUGGUGUAGCGGUGAAAUGCUUAGAUAUCACGAAGAACUCCGAUUGCGAAGGCAGCCUGCUAAGCUGCAACUGACAUUGAGGCUCGAAAGUGUGGGUAUCAAACAGGAUUAGAUACCCUGGUAGUCCACACGGUAAACGAUGAAUACUCGCUGUUUGCGAUAUACAGCAAGCGGCCAAGCGAAAGCGUUAAGUAUUCCACCUGGGGAGUACGCCGGCAACGGUGAAACUCAAAGGAAUUGACGGGGGCCCGCACAAGCGGAGGAACAUGUGGUUUAAUUCGAUGAUACGCGAGGAACCUUACCCGGGCUUAAAUUGCAGAUGAAUUACGGUGAAAGCCGUAAGCCGCAAGGCAUCUGUGAAGGUGCUGCAUGGUUGUCGUCAGCUCGUGCCGUGAGGUGUCGGCUUAAGUGCCAUAACGAGCGCAACCCUUGUUGUCAGUUACUAAUAGGUUCCGCUGAGGACUCUGACAAGACUGCCAUCGUAAGAUGUGAGGAAGGUGGGGAUGACGUCAAAUCAGCACGGCCCUUACGUCCGGGGCUACACACGUGUUACAAUGGGGGGUACAGAGGGCCGCUACCACGCGAGUGGAUGCCAAUCCCCAAAACCUCUCUCAGUUCGGACUGGAGUCUGCAACCCGACUCCACGAAGCUGGAUUCGCUAGUAAUCGCGCAUCAGCCACGGCGCGGUGAAUACGUUCCCGGGCCUUGUACACACCGCCCGUCAAGCCAUGGGAGCCGGGGGUACCUGAAGUGCGUAACCGCGAGGAGCGCCCUAGGGUAAAACUGGUGACUGGGGCUAAGU